UACAGAGGGUGCAAGCGUUAAUCGGAAUUACUGGGCGUAAAGCGCGCGUAGGUGGUUUGGUAAGUCGGAUGUGAAAUCCCCGGGCUCAACUUGGGAAUUGCGCUUGUAACUGGCAAGCUAGAGUGUGGCAGAGGGGGGUGGAAUUCCACGUGUAGCAGUGAAAUGCGUAGAUAUGUGGAGGAACACCGAUGGCGAAGGCAGCCCCCUGGGUUAACACUGACGCUCAUGCACGAAAGCGUGGGGAGCAAACAGG
This 253-nucleotide ribosomal RNA is filed under the name uncultured bacterium. RNAcentral's name for it is "partial 16S ribosomal RNA". It matches the Rfam family "Bacterial small subunit ribosomal RNA", at positions 524 to 776 of the family's 1533-position model. The record is from RNAcentral.